UACGGGAGGCAGCAGCGGGGAAUAUUGCACAAUGGGCGCAAGCCUAAUGCAGCCAUGCCGCGUGUAUGAAGAAGGCCUUCGGGUUGUAAAGUACUUUCUAGUCGUGAGGAAGGUGUUAAGGUUAAUAACCUUAGCAAUUGACGUUAGCGACAGAAGAAGCACCGGCUAACUCCGUGCCAGCAGCCGCGGUAAUACGGAGGGUGCGAGCGUUAAUCGGAAUUACUGGGCGUAAAGGGCACGCAGGCGGUUAAUUAAGUUGGAUGUGAAAUCCCCGGGCUUAACCUGGGAAUGGCAUUCAAGACUGGUUAGCUAGAGUCUUGUAGAGGGGGGUAGGAAUUCCAUGUGUAGCGGUGAAAUGCGUAGAGAUGUGGAGGAAUACCGGUGGCGAAGGCGGCCCCCUGGACAAAGACUGACGCUCAUGUGCGAAAGCGUGGGGAGCAAACAGGGAUUAGAUAC
RNAcentral lists this ribosomal RNA (456 nucleotides) under uncultured bacterium. Its description in RNAcentral is "bacterial SSU rRNA". It matches the Rfam family "Bacterial small subunit ribosomal RNA", at positions 340 to 785 of the family's 1533-position model. The record is from RNAcentral.